RNAcentral lists this transfer-messenger RNA (338 nucleotides) under bovine gut metagenome. RNAcentral describes it as "Alphaproteobacteria transfer-messenger RNA". It matches the Rfam family "Alphaproteobacteria transfer-messenger RNA". Rfam says of the family: Bacterial tmRNA, also known as 10Sa RNA or SsrA, is named for its dual tRNA and mRNA-like properties. Its role is to liberate the mRNA from a stalled ribosome. The record is from RNAcentral.
CUUGAAAAAAGUUAUUAUUUUUUGUAUACUGGAAAAUGUCAGCAAUGACUAUGAUACUAAAUCUUAAUUGGAAUAGGUAUUUCGGACUGGGGGGCGGUACCCCAUACCUCCACCAAAAAAAGAUAUAUGGGGGUAAAAUAGCAUCGACGGAUACAAUAAAGGAUUAAGGUGUAUCAAGUGAUGAUUCCGACUUUCAAUCGGGUCAAAAAAAAUGAACGCAAAUGAUAAUCGUUCUUUCGCAAUGGCUGCUUAAUAGUAAGCUUAGCGAACCAAAUUCUUUGAGGAUAUAGAACCCUUAAAGUGGGGUUUGGGGCUUUCCUAUCAACAGAAAAGCCCCA